CCUCACUUCGCCUCGCUGCCGCCAGGUGAGCUAGCCACGCUCACGCCAACGCCCUACCCGCCAUGAACUUCCCGAGCUCGAGUUCCAGCAUGGGGUGACCCCCCUCGUCAUCCAUCCGAAGACCUUGAGCCAUGGGAAGGAGACCUCACAGAACCCUCUUCUUCCUCAACAAUCCAGGGAAAGCCAAGGCCCAGAUCAACGACGUUCCUGAGCCCUUCUUCCUCUCCUUCGCGAACCAAUAGCAUCGCCGCGCUCCGUCGUACCUCAUGUUGUCUCCGACUCAUCUCCAACCGCAUCUUGAUGUCCGACAAGCUCUAGGUGAGCCGCGUGUAUGACCUUCCACUUACCAUCACCGUUCGUUAGGUGUACGUCGUGCAGCGCCCGUGCCAACUCCGUGCGCUCCGCGCUCUGCAAGUACGCAUUUUCUUUUGCAUGGCCCCGCAGCCGCGUUGUGUGCCUCCGCUCUAGCUUGUGCAUGCAACUUGCUCGCUUCAUGCUUGCUGAGUCCCACAACACGCACCUCGCUAGCCUGCUAGCCCACCACCCCGCUUUGUCUCGCCGCAGCAUGACCUCGAGAUCGAGCGCCACUCCGCUCACCGCGUAGCCGCGUCCUACCACUCAGAAUGGGAUCCCCUAUGUAUUCCACAACCCCUCUGUAGUUCCUUCACCCCGAUGGUCGCCAGAAGAUUCGUCGGUGUCGUCGCCUGCUUCUCUGCCUUAGGUGGAAGAGGACCACCACGUGGGUCUGUUCAUAAGGAAUGGAUCCCUUUUCCUAGCAAGCGCAGUAGAAGUAGUGUAGUGAUAGCGCCCCUCUCCACCACCACGGGCGAACCGGGUUUGAAUACUCCCGGGCACACCUUAAUUCCACCUUCUUUCCUUCCUUGUAGAGGUACUAACAGGAGGCCCAUAGACCCACUUGUCACCGUGUCAUCACCUUAGUGUCACUACCAAGUGUCCAUGGUGCUUUAAUUCAUUAUUUUAACUUUUUAAAUCUCAUAAAGCCAUUUAAGGAAUUAUUUCAUUUCUGGUAGUUUCCAUUUCAGUAAGUUUCCUGUUAGGGCAAGUCCAAAUCUGGACAAUUCCAAAUAUGGAAGUUCCUUUUUUGUCAACUACCAUUUUAGGGAGGAGAUGACUUGUUGCAUUUGUAGCAUUUUCUUAAUAUAGACAUAUGCCUAUUAUAGAUGUUUUGGGGUAUAAAAAUCUACAGAAUCCAUGUGUGGAAUUAGUUUUGUCAUUUGAGCAAGUUUGUGUGCAUGGUAUUUUUUGCUAGGAUGCCCUUUUGUCUAUUUUGUGUGAUUCAAUCCAUGCACCUUUUGGAAUAGUUGUGAACAUGAGAUAUGCACCUUAAUUCCCCCUUCUUUCCUUCCUUGUAGAGGCACUAACAGUAGGCCCAUGGACCCACUUGUCAUCGUGUCAUCACCUUAGUGUCACUACCAAGUGGCCCUGGUGCUUUAAUUCAUUAUUUUAACUUUUUAAAUCCCGUAAAGCCAUUUAAGGAAUUAUUCCAUUUCUGGUAGUUUCCAUUUCAGUAAGUUUCCUGUUAGGGCAAGUCCAAAUCUGGACAAUUCCAAAUAUGGAAGGGUGUUUUCUGUCAACUACCAUUUUAGGGAGGAGAUGACUUAUUGCAUUUGUAGAAUUUUCUUAAUAUAGACAUAUGCAUAUUAUAUAUGUUUUGGGGUAUGAAAAUCUAUAGAAUCCAUCUGUGGAAUUAGUUUUGUCAUUUGAGCAAGUUUGUGUGCAUGGUAUUUUUUGCUAGGAUGCCCUUUUGUCUAUUUUGUGUGAUUCAAUCCAUGCACCUUUUGGAAUAGUUGUGAACAUGAGAUAUGCCCUUUGACAUGUGUACUAGCCCUUGGUAUUUUUGUUUGCCAUGGAAAUCCAUGUCUAGUUGUUAGUUUCUUGCUACCAACAUGUUAUAAAAAUAUUGUUGUUUUGAAGGGAGAAGAUAUUUCUAAGUCUGAAAGUUUUAUAUAUUGUUGCUAUGUUGUCAUGUGAAUUUCCAUUGAUCUACAGAUCCCUUGUGGUCAUCCCCAUGAAGUGUUUUGUAAACCAUGUUAUCCCAUGUUAUGUUGUGCCAUUAGUUUCCAAGUAUAGGUUUGGCAUCAUAGUUAAUACUACUGUGUAACAUGUCAAUCUGAUAAAACUGAUGCUCCUUGAACCAUGUUAUUUUUUCCAAGUUUAAGAAACUGUUUAUUUUAGAUUGCCAUCUUGGGUUGAUGCUAGCCAUGUUUUUGUGCAUAUUCUGAUGAUGCCCCAUGUGGAGUUAUUUGUGGUGCAUCUCGUCCACUAUCAUGCAGUAGAAUUUGAUGCCAUGAUAGUCCCUGUAGCAUAUAGUUUUAUUGUUGUCAAUAUGCCUUCAGGUUAACAUUCAUUGUGAAACCCUUUUAUUUUCUCUAAGUACCAUGUGAGCUUCCUACCAUGUGACUCAUGACUAUUUUAACUGCGAUUCCUCCCGAUGAAAUGAAAUAUAUGCUACAUACUACUGCCCAUGACUGGUUUGUGCAUUUUAGAUUCAUGUAGCUUGUGGUUUGGAUGUGUGCAAAAUGACAUGUUGUUUUGGACAGAUUACUUGCAUAAUUGUUCUGCACUUUGUGGGAGUUAUACCCACUUUUUUCAUGAUCAUUAGGUCCAUUUCACCUAGAAUUUCAUUUCCAAUCCAGUGGCAUACUUAGGAUACCUAGAAAUUUCCCAUAGCUUCUCUCAAAUUCUGUUUUGCCAUCAUUUCCUUCUGUACCUUGUCGUGAGUGCCCCGAGAGAUCCAUAACUCCGAUUGCAACGUUCUUCAUAUGCAUUUGCAUAAUUUUCACAUGAAGCAUUCAUUUUUUCCAUGUGCAUGCAUAACAAAGUAAUUAAUCUUGUGGUUUUGUCCAGGAAGAUAACAACUAAAUAAUCGCAUGAGAAAGAUGACUACUGUAGGAUUGCCAUGUUUCAUUCACACCGUGAUCAUGCAUCAUAAUUGUUUGAGCAUUGUGUCUUGGUUGUGUGUUCAUUGGAUAUUGUUAUUUCUUUUGGGUAGCACAGGCUGGUGAGAACAAGUACGAGGAACCUGUUGAGGGCAUUUCCGAAGAGCAAGAGUAAUAUCCCACUAAAGAAGCAGAAGGCCAGAUGAUGACCACCCUCGAUAUCGUUUCUAAUUUUGUUAUGCCUAGUUGUCUCGCUUCUAUUGUUAUGUCUCGCUGCAUAGCUACCACUUGAAUGUCAAGCCUCCCAAAAUUCCAUGAUAAUCCUCUAACCCCUCCACCUCCUAGCAAAGCAUUGUUUAGCUAAGUUACCGCUUGCUCGGCCCUUCUUAUAGCGUUGUUAGUUUUAGGUGUAGGUUGAUCCAUCUGAUAACAUUGAUAUUUUGGGAUAUCACCAUAUGAUUGCUAUUUAAUUUAAUGCACAUAUAUACUCGGUAAAAAGGGAAAUGCUUGGACUUUUUCUCAGUGUUUUGUUCCACCCUUGCCGCCCUAGUUCCGUUUACUAGCGUUAUGUUUCAUAUUGAGUGGUCCUAACAUGUUUGGGGUUGUUAUGGGGACCCCCUUGAUAAUUCAUUUUGGGAUAAAAUUCUUUCAGCAAGGACCAACAUUGGUACUACAUUUUCUUAACCACUUAAUAAAAAUGCAUAGGGCUUAGCUACCCCGUGGAUAAUUAAUAAACCCCUCGGAAAGUGCUCCCCAUGAGUUUUGGUCCAAACUAGAGUCAUGUGCGGGGCUAACCCGGGGAAACUCGAUAGAUUUCUAUUAGGCCAUCGUACACUGCGCUCAUCUGGUUGUGUCCUGAGAACGAGAUACACGGCUCCUAUCGGGUUCGUCGACACGUCGGGUGGUCUUGCUGGAUUUGUUUUCCCCUCCUCGAAUGUCUUGUGCACUCGGAUUUCAAGGAUAACUAGGGCUAUAUCGAUAUUGAGGUUUUCGAGCGCACCUUGUGGCUCGUUUGUGAUGGAUGAGUUGGAGCACCCCUAUAGGAUUAAAUAUUUCUGGAAGUCGUGCCCACGGUUAUGUGGCAACUUGGAAAUUGUUGAACACCCAAUUAUAGCAAACUUGAAGUAAACUCAAUUAAAAUACACCAACCUGUGAGUAACCGUGACCGUCUGUUUUCAAGGGAGUUUGGAAAGAGAACACGAAUGCGUUAUGUUUGAAUCAUAAGUAGGUGUUCAUGAUCACUUCCUGGUCAUGUUAAAUUCACCUCCGUUAUGUGUAGAUUGCCAUCCUACUCAUGUACUCGUAAGUUAACCACCAAAUAGAUGCUUAGUGCUAUUGUAAACUCAACACUUAACCAUGCCUCACCUAAUAACUUGAUUAGACUCAAUAUCUUGGUCAAUUAGAUUGUUGAGUCCCCAUGGCUCAUAGAUUAUUACAACUCCACAGGUCCAGGUACAACAAACGUUGAUGCAGUUGAUGCUCCCCAGCUCAAGUGGGAGUAUGAAGAGGAGAGCAGGUGUAUGUACGUCACUUAUCCGGACGAGUAAAGGGAUCCUUGGUCGUCUCCUGGGCAUAGGGAGAUAGAUAUCAUUUGCUUUUGUCGUUUGAUGUUGUUCGUAGUCAGACCCUGCUAUUAUGAAUGUUUGAAUGGAUGAUUGUAUGGAUUAUGUAAUUUAGCACAUGGUGAGUGUAAGCCAACUCAUAUACUCAUCUUAUCUAUUACAUGUAUUCUAAUGAUGUCUAUAUAUACU
This 4651-nucleotide long non-coding RNA is filed under the name Hordeum vulgare. RNAcentral's name for it is "long non-coding RNA (HVUL_LNC003734)". The record is from RNAcentral. Lineage: Eukaryota; Viridiplantae; Streptophyta; Magnoliopsida; Poales; Poaceae.